GGGCGCUUAGCUCAGUUGGCUAGAGCAUCUCGUUUACACCGAGAGGGUCAGGGGUUCAAGUCCCUUAGCGCCCACC
Molecule: transfer RNA, 76 nt
Filed under: uncultured Actinomycetes bacterium
Lineage: Bacteria; Bacillati; Actinomycetota; Actinomycetes
Description: uncultured actinobacterium tRNA-Val
Rfam family: tRNA
About the family: Transfer RNA (tRNA) molecules are approximately 80 nucleotides in length. Their secondary structure includes four short double-helical elements and three loops (D, anti-codon, and T loops).
Source: RNAcentral